CCAUGUACCCGGUCUGUCCACCAUCUCUUAGGAUAUCUAGUAAGGCUGUCAUUCCAUCUGUUUAUUUGAUCACACCCCUUUCCUGUUUUCCUUUAGUCUCCAUUACCAAAUCAAAUAUAAUCACAUAAACAAAUAAACAUGCAUUCGAUAAUGCAAUCAUGUCUCAAAUUCCAAAUCAAACAAUGUUCAGGUAAGACAGUAAUACAUGCAUUAAACCAUAAAAUAGGUAAAUCAGAUAUUAUCAUGCUUUUAGAGUGUAGAAUAAAUCAACAGAGAAUAAUAUCCGGUUCGGGCUCUAUUAGCAAUCCGUAAUUAAUUAUGCAUAUUUAUUUAAUUU
RNAcentral lists this long non-coding RNA (337 nucleotides) under Carica papaya (papaya). RNAcentral describes it as "long non-coding RNA (CPAP_LNC006914)". The record is from RNAcentral. Lineage: Eukaryota; Viridiplantae; Streptophyta; Magnoliopsida; Brassicales; Caricaceae.